RNAcentral lists this ribosomal RNA (503 nucleotides) under uncultured bacterium. RNAcentral's name for it is "partial 16S ribosomal RNA". It matches the Rfam family "Bacterial small subunit ribosomal RNA", at positions 28 to 523 of the family's 1533-position model. The record is from RNAcentral.
GAUGAACGCUAGCGGCAGGCCUAACACAUGCAAGUCGAGGGGUAGCAGGAUUAAGCUUGCUUAAUUGCUGACGACCGGCGCACGGGUGCGUAACGCGUAUGCAACCUACCUUAUACUGGGGUAUAGCCCGGAGAAAUUCGGAUUAAUCCCCCAUAGUACUAAUGAAUCGCAUGGUUUAUUAGUUAAAGCAUUGCGGUAUAAGAUGGGCAUGCGUCCUAUUAGCUAGAUGGUGAGGUAACGGCUCACCAUGGCUACGAUAGGUAGGGGGCCUGAGAGGGUGGUCCCCCACACUGGUACUGAGACACGGACCAGACUCCUACGGGAGGCAGCAGUGAGGAAUAUUGGUCAAUGGGCGCAAGCCUGAACCAGCCACGCCGCGUGCAGGAAGAAUGCCCUAUGGGUUGUAAACUGCUUUUAUUUGGGAAUAAACCUCUUUACGUGUAGAGAGCUGAAGGUACCAAAUGAAUAAGCACCGGCUAACUACGUGCCAGCAGCCGCCGUAA